Molecule: ribosomal RNA, 572 nt
Filed under: uncultured yeast
Lineage: Eukaryota; Fungi
Description: LSU rRNA
Rfam family: Eukaryotic large subunit ribosomal RNA
Source: RNAcentral
AAACCAACCGGGAUUGCCUUAGUAACGGCGAGUGAACCGGCAAAAGCUCAAAUUUGAAAUCUGGCGUCUUCGACGUCCGAGUUGUAAUUUGAAGAAGGCGACUUUGUAGCUGGUCCUUGUCUAUGUUCCUUGGAACAGGACGUCAUAGAGGGUGAGAAUCCCGUGUGGCGAGGAUCCCAGUUAUUUGUUAAGUGCUCUCGACGAGUCGAGUUGUUUGGGAAUGCAGCUCUAAGUGGGUGGUAAAUUCCAUCUAAAGCUAAAUAUUGGCGAGAGACCGAUAGCGAACAAGUACAGUGAUGGAAAGAUGAAAAGAACUUUGAAAAGAGAGUGAAAAAGUACGAGAAAUUGUUGAAAGGGAAGGGCAUUUGAUCAGACAUGGUGUUUUGUGCCCUCUGCUCCUUGUGGGUAGGGGAAUCUCGCAUUUCACUGGGCCAGCAUCAGUUUUGGUGGCAGGAUAAAUCCAUAGGAAUGUAGCUUGCCUCGGUAAGUAUUAUAGCCUGUGGGAAUACUGCCAGCUGGGACUGAGGACUGCGACGUAAGUCAAGGAUGCUGGCAUAAUGGUUAUAUGCCGC